This is a non-coding RNA of Cyanistes caeruleus (blue tit), 5734 nucleotides long. The record is from RefSeq and is a predicted model, not a curated record. NCBI's taxonomy places the organism in Eukaryota, Metazoa, Chordata, Aves, Passeriformes, Paridae.
GGCAUUGCCUCACCCACAGAAAGCCCGGCCUGCCCUCCCUUCCAGACACAGGCAUGGCACUCUGAGACUUACAACAGUGCCAGUUCUUGCAUGGCUUCUGACUCAUCAAAGGCCAUAAGAGAAGACAAAGCAAUUGAAUUAGAAAGCAAACAUCACAAUAGUGCCUGUGAAAACCAGCAUGGAUUUACAAGACAAGUAAAUUUUUUUCCUAAAAUGGCACUUCACUAACAAUCAUUUAAUAGAUUUUUUUUUUAAAUCAUGGUGAGAGUUAUUACCACUGUUACCAAAAUGCUGGAAAUAGCAUUUCAGAUUCUGAGCUCCUCCUGUGCAUUACAUGUGCUACAAGUAGUUCUUGUAGGGUGGGAGGGCAAUUGUUGCAGAAACUGUAGCCACAGUAACAUCUUUCUCUAGCAUCUUCACAUUGGUAAUGAAGAGCAAAUCAGGCUCCAGUUAUUCACAAAUUGCUCAAAACAUUGGCACUUACAAAUGUCACAGCCUUCUCUGCCUGCAGAAAGACUAUGAAAGGAAUGCUCCAUCAUGCUGUGGCACAAGAAAAGUGCACGCCUGAAUUGGAAAUGCGAUCUUUCACUGUCUAGGUAUUACACAGGUUGCAUUACCCAGUGAGAGAAGGGAUUCGCCCUAUCAGCCACAUGCAGAUAAGUACUACGACUCCAUCAAUUUUGUCCCCAUUUGGAAAAAAAAAAAAUACUGCUGUAUUUUUCAGAUCUAGACCAUAGGGAAGACUACAGACGCUGAUUUUUUUCAAACAGGCAUGGUCCAGCAUGUAAUGACAACAUAUAUACCCUCUCUGUCUUCUACAUUUUUUGAAGAAAGUGGCUAGAGGUGUCAUGAUGUCACUGAGUUUAUGUGGCAAGGUGCUGGACAGUGGGGGAUGCAGAAGAAUCACUGUGAGCAGAGGACAGGGCUAUCCUGUGUGGGACACAUCAAGUUCCAGAUGGUUCCAACCAGUGCACCAUAGGGUACAGCUGAGCCUCACAGCCACAAAGGCAGCACAUCUGGAAGAAUAAAUUUAAGGAAGGGCAAAAACCACUGUGCAGUAGAAUGGUAGGGAAAACAUCUGAGAAACAGCCCUGCAGACACCAAGGUGAGAGAAGCAGGAAGGAAUGAUGCUCUGUGCACUGGAGCAGAGAUCCCUCUGAAGUCCAUGGAGAAGACCAUGGGGAAGCAGGUUGCCACCCUGCAGCAUACAGGUGAUCACGUCAGAGCAGAUAUCCACACUGCAGCCAUGGCAGACACCGUGCCAGAGCAGAUGGGUGGGCUCUGAAUGAACUGCAGACUGUAGAGGCCAUGCAGGAGUGGGUUUAUCCCGAAGGACUACAGCCCAUGAAAAAAAUCCAUGCUGAAGCAAGGGAGACAUGGAGGAACGGGGUGCAGAGAUGAAGUGCUAUUAACUGACUACAGUCCUUAUUCCCCACCCUUCUGUACUGUUCAGUGUGUGAAAAGAAGAACAUGGAGAAGCCAGGAAAGGAGUGCGAUUGAGCCUGGGAAGAAGGAGAUAAGAGGGAAGUGUUUUAAUUUUUGUCUUUAUCUCCAUCCAACUCUAAUGGACAAUAAAUUAAUUUUCCUGAAGGCCCUGAAGGACUGGGAAUGUCUUGACCUGGGUCUAGGCUCUAUUCAAACUCCGAGUCUACCAGUGUUUUGAGGGAGUGAUACACACUGGAAUGUGACUGCCAACACCUCACAUGUCUGAUCAACUGCUGAGGUAAGGUCCUACAGAAGUAUGCAGCACUUUUGUACCCACAAAAAAUAUUUAGCAGUCGGGGCUAAAAGAGAAAUUACGAAUGCCUGCAGGAAGCAUAGGCACUGUUCCAUACACUUAAGAGGUGUGCUCGGCUUUCCAUUAUGAUGACGAUCUGUAGAACAAAACUUCCUUCAUCUGAAUGUUUUGUGAAUACUCUCCAGUGCUCCUGAAACAGCGAUGUCCUGAGGAAAAGCAAAGUCAGAGCGCCACCUGCCGCUGCUGUUUAACAGGAAAACAGCGCUGGAUGCCAGUUUCUCCUUCUCAUCUUCCACUGCACACUGAAGUACCCUUGGACUAACAGCCAGCUGAGCGAUAUCGGGUUUACUGCACGUCUAUUUGGACACCAACGCUCUUUAAACCCAUUUCCAGUGUUCACUGGGAAUUGGUUAAUGUUUUUCACUGAGCUUUUAGCAACUACAGUUCAAAUCUUAAUCACAGCGAAUUUCUUCCAGCUCUCAAUAUUCCAAAGCAAAGAGCUGCAAGAUGCAGAGAGUUUAUUCGGCAAGUAUGGCUAUCUGAUUGUCCUUUUCAUUUAUGCUUCCCUAGAAAUCUGCUACUGGAAACUGAAAAACACAAAUGUCGUGUCAGUUAGUCCAUAAAAGUCUACUUACUAUCCAUAAAAGGAAGGUUUUCCUGUAACAACCUUAGCCUUGUAACAGUACUAGAAGUAAGCCUUUAAAAAUGAUCUUGUAUCUGAAAAAAACCCCAAACAAACCAGCAGAUUAGUAGUUAACAGAUACAAAAACUACUACUUGUAUUUUUCAUUUAUAUGUUGAACAGAUCAAAUAAAAUAAACUAUCAAACACACAGACAAGUAUUUCAUUCCCUCAAUUUAAACAGAAACACAUUAAAUGAAAUAGCUCUCUGAAUGUUUCCAUGAUAAGAAAGUCUCACAGACACUUUCAACCUUCUCCCUUAGGCCUUCUUCCUCAGACCACCUCUAAAAGUCUUUUUUUCCUCCAGUGAGGAUGAACUUCUGAGUUAAUUAACUAAAGAUAACAUACUCAAUUUGAACAGUUAAGGUGAAUCUACAUUAACAGUUUACUGAGCAGCAUCAGUUCCUAGGUACGAAUGUGCUGAGUAUCUGUGCCUUGAGUUACAAGGAGCACACUCUGGGCACACAGCCUGUGCACACACUGUGGUUUCUCUCCUGAACUAAGCAGAAAGCUUCACACUGAGGUGCAAUCCAGAGUACCAGGGUUACUGGGGACACAAAGUACAGCCUUUAAAGCAAGAAUUCAGCAACUCUGAAGUCCUCCUGCUAUUUUCAAGCAAGAGAUCUGAAAAUAUUUGUAUGCCUUGUCCUUCCUCUAUAGUUGAAGGAAAUCCAAAAUGAUCAAGUAAUCGGAGACCAGUCACAAGCUUAUGGACCUUCCAAAAAAAAAUAAAUAAAUAAAGUAUACAUGGCCCUUCUACUUCCACAGAGGACGACUCUAAGACAGUAUUUAACCCAUCAAUGUAAGUGCUCUUAUACCACCAUUAUAUCUUUAUAUCUUCAGUUCAGGAGAAUAGAAGCAGGGCAGCUACUGGAGGGUUACCACCCUGAUUCUGACGAGUUCAGUCACUGAAAGGACAAAAAAUUCCAUUGUAAGGUUAAAUUAUCUGAUAGAAAUCUGUGAAGGUCACAAGGCCAUCCCUGCAGAGUCCCACCCUACCAAAUCAAUGUUGCAUGAAGUUAAAAUUAAAAUGAAGGCAACAUUUGAAAAACAGAGGUAAAAUCUAAGUCUGCUAAACCCAGGAAAAUCCAUCUCUGAUACAGGAAACUGGAGAAUUUUGUCUGGGAGAAGAAAAACAAACUACUCAACACGAAGUCUCUGAAGCUUGGAAGAGACCAGAGGACUCUUGCGAGAUAUUCAAAGGUGUUGGAAAAGGGAGAUUAACCACUCUCCCCAGUGAGAACAUUCCAAUGCCCUGAAGUCUCCACAUGGGCAUUUUUGAAAUUGAAGAGAUUUGAUAAUGCUAAAACCCUGACUUUGACUCAAUAUUGUACUGGUGAGAGAUAGUUAAAUGCUGUGGUUCAUGACAUCUGAAAGAUUGCCUAUGUAUUGCUAGUGGUGAAAGCCUAGACUUAAUCUUCAAGGAAAAGAUCUCUGCCUGCAUCUUUCUCCUAGCAACAGCUAAUGACACAGUGAAACCAUGCAGCAGUUUGACUCUGUCGGGGAUAAGAGAUAAAGAGCAAGGAAGGCAGAGCAGCUACUUCCAUAUGAUUAUACAUUGAUUUACUUUCAUUUGGACAACAGAGAAACAGUUUCUCUCCCUGUCCCUCUGUAAAUACAUCUUACCUGUACUCAUGUAAAUGCUUCAUCUGACAACAUAUUAGGAGAGCCAGUUUUGAAACCAUAGACACUGCUGUUAAGCAAGGUAAAUUUUAUUGCAUUCAGACAAAACAGCAGUAACAGGGAAAGGAUGCUACAAUGUACACUGCAACAGGGUGAAUGUUGCCAGUCCUCAUACUGCUCUGUGUGGGGUCAAGCACACAGAGAAGCAAAGCAAGGUCCUUUAAUUGAAAAUGCAGGCUCUAGAAUAGAUUUUUAGUGGUGCCCCACGUGUUAGCGCAUUUUGUCAUUCUCUUUGCUGUGUUUUUUCUUUCUCCUUUUGUAUUUUCCAGUAUGCCACCAAAAGGUACUGCAGAGGAUAAUUUUUUUAUUUUUUUUUUUUAAAUAAGUGGCUACUACCUUUCUGGCAGUACUGCUUAUGGUUCAAGCAGGGAAUGGAAAGACUGGGCACAGAACAUAAAAAUGGGAGGAUGGAACUGGAGGAGGGGACUGCCAGUUGUAGUUCCUUCCUUUUCCAGGAAGGAAAUACAGGAUAUAGUUACUGGACAGAUACAUAUUUCUUGCUGAAUUCCAUUACUUCAACAGAAUAUGGGCUUUUCUAAUAUAAAUCCGACAACUCUCAAUUUGAAUCUGGUUACCUUUUGCAGUGUACAGGUCUUCAACAUGCCCUAUGUACAACCCUCCCAUGACAGAGUUUCUCAGCCAAUGGCAAUUUUAAAAACAGAUACAGUUUUUUAUGUGUUUCACUGUCCAGAUAAUACACAAUCCUGGAACUAUAAACAUUAGGCCUGCAACUAAAAAUUCAGAAGUUAGGUCUGUAAUUCUUCUGUCUGCAUCUCUAAAAAUUAGUCUUCGCCCAAAAUAUUCUAUGCGGUCUUCUUUUUGCAUUCAUCAUUGACCUGGAAUUUGUGCAACUUGACUUUUCUAACAGGCUUUUCAGAUAUGCUGUCUGUUAGCUUCCUAAAUGUUUUUGCUGAUUUAUCUCUCAUACAUUUCCUUUUUCAGUGCCUCAAAGCUUCCAUCCACAGGUUAAUUCCUUGUACAAGGAUGACAUCACAGCUCUUAGGGGAGCUGCAAAUCUCUGUCCCUACCACAGAAACCUACAAAACACAGAAAUACUCAUAACUCAAAAUGUCUGAUGAUUCAGAAAUUCUGAAUCUCUGACACAGAGGUGUCAUAUAAAAUCCAUAUACAAAAUGGUAUCUAAAACCUCUCUGUCAUAAUCUCCCAACAGUGGACUUGUCAGCACUGGUGUGCUAUUAUGGGAGACAAUCUUGAAUUAAAAUACAUGUAUCACACAUUGAAGAGUGGUCUGUGAACAAUUCAAAAGAUCAUUAUCACAGCAACACCCCCACCCAGUCAGGAAUACAGCUAGACAUUUCCCACCAAUUAUGAGGGAAUGACACUGUGGAACAAACCAAUGAAUCUGUAAAACCUCAAACUGCAAAAAAGCUGGGGGAGCAUUAACUGACUGCUUCUCAACUCUUCUGAUGCAAGAUUUUGCAGUGGAGCUCCCACACCUGUGCCAGAAAAUUUCCACAUGUGAAUAUUCUCAGGUCAUAUGCUUUAAGCUUACAGAUAUUAAAGAGCUGGAAGGAGCUGUAACAAUAUUUUCACAUGUUAAAUGUACAAAUGUUUACACCUUUGCAAUUAUUGUUUUAUUUUAAAGUAUAUAAUUAUUAUAAUAUACAAUUCC